RNAcentral lists this ribosomal RNA (252 nucleotides) under uncultured bacterium. RNAcentral's name for it is "partial 16S ribosomal RNA". It matches the Rfam family "Bacterial small subunit ribosomal RNA", at positions 524 to 775 of the family's 1533-position model. The record is from RNAcentral.
UACGUAGGGCGCAAGCGUUGUCCGGAAUUAUUGGGCGUAAAGAGCUCGUAGGCGGUUUGUUACGUCCGCUGUGAAAACCCAGGGCUUAACCCUGGGCUUGCAGUGGAUACGGGCAGACUAGAGGCAGGUAGGGGAGAAUGGAAUUCCCGGUGUAGCGGUGAAAUGCGCAGAUAUCGGGAGGAACACCGGUGGCGAAGGCGGUUCUCUGGGCCUGACCUGACGCUGAGGAGCGAAAGCGUGGGGAGCGAACAG